AUUGUUUUCUUCUCUAUAUGCUUGUAUUUUCCAGUUUUCUACAAUGAGCUUGUGUUACUUAAUUAACCAGAAGGAAUCCAGAUUUUUUUUUAAAGGAAGUAAAGAUAAAAUAAUAAACUUUAAUUUUCUUGUGAAUCUUUAAAGUAUACUUGACUGUUUUCCUGCAAAAUCAGUACCUCUGCUUUAUGAUUGAAAUUGAUUGUUAAAUGUUGACAAGACCAAAAUAUUACCUGAUAAGACCAAGUAAUAUUAAUUAUUUGGAGAUUCAUUUAACAAUAUUAAGGGAGAAUCGAGGCUUUCAGUGCUGGAAGACAGUGAUGUAAAAUAAGUACAUUAAUGAUUUCUUUUAAAUUCCUAACACAGGAGUAGAAAUUUGUGUCUUUAGAGAUUUCUGUAUUUAAGUUUGAUCUAGAGGUAUUAUGUGUUCUUUACACAUCAUUUUAAUCAACAUUGUUGCCCCAAACCGACUUUGAGGGCCUCUAGGGCCUGAAGCCCUGGUGAUGGUAUGGUUAAGAGCUUUGUGGCUAACCAAAAGGUCAGUGGUUCGAAUCCACCAGCUGUUUCUUGGAAACCCUAUGGGGCAGUUGUGCUUUGGCCUGUAGGGUUCCUAUGAAUCAGAAACCACUCGAUGGCAAUGGGUUUUUCUUUUUUUUAAGGGUCUGGGCGCUCAUGUGCUAGGCGGGCACUAGGGGGUUUACCACGGUCCUUGUCAUUAUGCUGGGUGCUGGCCAAGUACUGUCCAUAGAUUGAGAGGCACCAUAGUGAGGUGCUCAACAGCGUGGACUCUGAGGCCAGACUGCCUGGAUUAAAUCCUGACUUUGCCACUUACUAGCUGUGUGACCUUAGGCAAGUAACAGUUACUUAACUCUCUGGCUCUGUUUAUCUGUGAAAUAAUUAUCGUCCCUACUUCGCAAAAUUAUUAUCAAGGUUAAGUUAGCCAAUAUUUAUAAAGUGUUUAGAAGAGUGUUUUCUAAUUAGUCAAACACUUCAGAAAAAAAAUCUCAUUUAAUCCUCAGAAUAACCUAGAGAGAUAGAUGACAGCAUUCCCAUUGUACAGACAGUUUUGAAAAAUGAAGCUGAGAUUUCCUAACGUACUUAAGGUUAUACAGCCAGUAAUUCAAACCCCAGAUUUAAAUUCUGAGCUGUUCUACUUAUUGUGUAUGUUGGUAUUAUAAAUGCCUAUUAUGUAUAUAGAUGGAAGCCCUGGUGGCGUAGUGGUUAAGCGCUAUGGCUGCUAACCACAAAGGUCGGCAGUUCAAAUCCACCAAGCGCUCCUUGGAAACUCUGUAGGGCAGUUCUCCUCUGUCCUACGGGGUCUCUAUGAGUCAGAAUCGGCUCGAUGGCAACAUGUUUGGUUUUGUUUUUAUCACGUACACACACACACAUGCGCGCGCGCGUGCGCGUGCGAGCCCUGGCAGUGCUUUAGAGCUCAGGCUGCUAACCAAAAGGUUUGCUGUUCGAAUCCACCAACCACCAACCGCUCCUUGGAAACCUUAAGGGGCAGUUCUGCUCUGUCCUAAACGGUUGCUAUGAGCUGGAAUUGACUCUAUGACAGUCGGUUUAGUUGUUUUUUUUUUUUGGUUUUAUCCUGCACUUGGACAUGUCCCCAUGGCAAAUAAUUUUCCUAUUCUAGUUUUUGCAUCAUGUCAAGAGUGAGUGAUACUUAUGCUUUAUAAAACUUCACAUAAUUAUAGUCACGUAUAUGUGGAAAACAAUCAGAUAAUGAAUCUAAUGUAUAAAAGGCUGCAUGUGGGACUGUCUUACCUGUUUCUCAGAUGUUAAAAAGUGAAAAUUUGUCUAAAAUUUAUGAUACUUAAAGCCAACUAACUAGAAAAGCCAGUUAAAUAAAAUACAGAGUUUGGAAUAAAGUCGGCUGUAUGUGAGUGUAACACACACUUGUUAAGGUGAAAUAACAUCAUUGAGAAAAGAAUCAUACUGUCCUGGGAAAAUCGUGUGUUAAUAGGGGAAAAACCUGAAAGUGAUAAUGCAAAUAUGUGCACUAAAGUCAAGUAUGGAGUGAAAUGUCCUCAAUUAAAACAUAUACAGAGGAAUACAUUUACUUUGACUGUGCUUUAAGAAGCUUAAAAAAAAAAAAACUAUUAAAACAGUAACAGUUUAACUGUAUUUUGGUGGUUUUAUUAAAUUUUUAAAAAAAUUACUUGAAAAUCAGCAAUUCUAAAAAUAUCUAAUAAUAUCGAGAAAUUACUGAAAAUGAGCACAUUUAUUAAACCUUCUCUGAACAAAUGGUUAAUGGACAAAAACAGCUAAUAUUCAUGAAACAAAGGUUUCUACAGUAUUCAUUUACCUGUCCUAAAACAACACCUAGAAGUAUAUUUUAGAUAUAAUUAUUUAUGAAAUAUGAAUAAUAAUGAAAAUAUGAAUUCAUUUAUGAACAUGUAUUUUUGUAUAGCUGGCGAAAAUUGGGUUUUUCCCAGUUUUUAGUUAAUUAUAAAUGAUCCAGCUAGAAACAUCUUUGAAGAAUUGUUUUUUCCUCAAUAUCAUUUCUUAAAAGUGUAGUUCAGUCAAAUAUAUGAGACCAAAUGGGCAACUCCUGCCCAAAAGCAAGAUGAGAAGGCAGAAAGAGACAGGAAAACUGGAUGAGUGGAAGUGGGGGACCCAGAGUACAAAGGGAGAGAGUGCUGUCACAUUGUGGGCAUUGCAGCCGAUGUCAGAAAACAAUAUAAAAUUUUGAAUGAGAAACUAACUUGAGCUGUAAACUUUCACCUAAAACCAAACCCACUGCCUUCGAGUUGAUUCCAACUCAUAGUGACCCCACAGGAUUUCCAAGGCUGUAAGUCUCUGUGGAAGCAGACUGCCACAUCUUUUUCCCAGAGCUGCUGUGGUUUUGAAUUGCCGACCUUUCAGUGAGCAGUUGAUUGCUUUAACCACUGAGCCACUAAGCCUCCUUAAACUUCCACCUAAAGCACACACACAUACUGACACACAAAAAUGGUAUUACCAGGCGAACAAAUAACAUCCAUCUUUUUAGCUCUCAUUAGUGACCCUCUGACAGAGUGGAACUGCCCUUUAGGUCUUCCUAGGCUUGAUAUUUAUGGGAGCAGAUCGCCCGGCCUUUCUCUUGUGGAGCCACUGGGUGGAUUCGAUCUGCUGACCUUUUGGUUAGCAUCUGAGCACUUAACCGUUGCACUGCCGGAUUUUCUGGCAGCAGUUUAUUUGUGGAAUGAAAGUAUGGGACUAAAUGAUCUCCACAUUUUUUUUUUUUUUUCUUUUCUGGCAUUCUGAUCUUAUGAAGUCUGUGAAUCAAGGAUUGCAAGAGGUGAUAGAUUCUUGUAAUUAUUUUUGUACCCAAGAAGUUUCUUUUCCCUGUUUGCAGGUAUUUGACUGGUAACUAAUAUGCUAAGCACAGCGCCCAGACUGUUGAGUAGGUUCUCAGGGAGUCUCCGAUGGAGGCUAGCUGGGUGGAUGAAAUACUGCCUGCUUUUUCUGUGCUAGUUUUUAUUUCUUUUGUACCAAACCAGAAAACCAAACCCACUGCCAUUGAGUCGAUUCUGACUCAUAGCGACCCUAUAGGACAGAGCAGAACUGCCCCAUAGUUUCCAAGGAGUGCCUGGUGGAUUUGAACUGCCGACCUCUUGGUUAGCAGCUGUAGCACUUAACCACUACGCCACCAGAGUUUCCAUUUCUUUUGUAAAGCUGGUUAAAUAAGAACAAAUGAUAUCCCUGAAGCAUUUAUUUUCCAAUAAGUCUCUUGUUCUUAUAAAACGGUAUAAAUUAAAUAAUAGCUUAACAUUUAUUGAACACAUACUGUGUACUACUUUUCUAAGCGUAAGAUGAAGUUAUUUCACCCUGAUAACAAUCCUGUUAGGUAAUCAUUGUCCUCAGUUUAUUGGAUGCAGAGGUACAGAGAGGUUAAGGAACUUGCCCAAAGUUAGCCAGGCUGUAAGUGGUAGGGCUAAGUUUGGCUGGGCGAUGUGGCUCUGGAGCUGCACUCUCAUCUUUCUCUCAGCCACAGUUCUCAUACCUCCCUCAGUGUCCUGAACUUGGGCGGGUCUGAUAGGCACCUGUUGAGACUGGGUGGCUUGGGCAGGAAUGUGGGUCAGGCAGGGUUUUGUCACUAGGCCAGGCAGUCCAUGUGCUGGUUGAAGAUGGGAAACCCCCGCAAGCCGAUUGGAAAAGCGGGCAGGACUGAAGAGUCAAGUUAGGCUGGGCAGCAUCUGUGUUAGGGAGAACUCUAGGACUGUCCUAAGACAGAGGGUGAAUUUGGUCAAUAAGUCAUAGUUCCACAUAUCACUUUUAAUAGGGCUACUCAGGGUUCAUUUGGGAUUAUCUACCGCUAAGUUAAGGAGCCCUGGUUGCUCAGUGGUUAGGCGCUUGGCUGCUAACUGAAAGUUUGACUGUUUGAACCCACCCAAUAGCUCCUUGGGAGAAAGACCUGGUGAUCUGCUUCCAUAAAGAUUGCAGCCUAGAAAACGCUUUGAGGCAGUUACUCUGUCACGUGGGGUCACUAUGAGUUGAAAGUGGCUUGAGGGCACCUAAUAGCAAUCAUAAGUUUCUGGAGGUUCAUCCUAGGUUUACAGGCAUAUGGCUUCUGGGCUUGUUAUGGAGAGAGGAUGUCGAAAUCAAAUGAGAUAAAGCCUCUGUAUUCCUUGAGCCUUGAGUUUUUCUCAGUUGCUUUUGGGAGGCAGCACCCUGAUCGUUCUUACCAACUGGGUCACCACAAUAGUGCCGUGUUCUCUUGAGCACCUAGGCUCUUGUAUCCAGUUCAUCCCCCGGGUCUCAACCAGAGUUCUCAAGCUGUGAGCCAUCAAACUGGGGCCUCCCCUCGUUAGACUUUGUCUUGGAAAUAUCCAUUUUUUAACGUGAAUGUGGCGAGUAUGUAAAGGGGUAUACCACUGCCAGUGUGUGGUUGUUCAUGACAAGAGUAGACAAGGAUUAUUGCAGGUUAGGAUCCUGCACUUCUGGGGAGAGUUAAUAGAGCACGUACAGACUGAGAGUCCUUAAAAUGUGAAAUUAAUAGUUCAAAUCCAAAACACUGACGUUCUGAAAAGCACAUGUGAGAAGUCACUUCAAGCUAGUAGACAGAAAUCUGUUUUCAUAUUCUGAGAAUAGCUGUUGCCAACCCUAGGACAAUAAACAGAGGCAGCAGGGGUCAGAAAACAAAUUUAUAGGCCAGCAAUUCUACUGGCCUGCUUACCGCAAACACUGUCAAUAUUUUGCCAUCCGCACUUGGGUGUCUGCCAGGUGGUAUUCUUUAGUUGAUCAUUUUGGAAAUCCUAAACAAUGUAUCUGGAGUGUUUGUGUUUGAGAAGUGCUUAUCAGCCAAACACAGUCUUAUAAAACAGAUUAUUAAAAAAAAAAUUUUUUUUUUAAAACUUGUAUUUCUGUUCUAAGAACACUUACUAAGAAAAUGGUUUCCUGUUCAAACAAGGUUUGCUGCUUUAGAGAGAGAGUCUUCUGGCUUUGUGUGGUUGUCAGUGUGCGUUGUUGUGCCUUUAGUAUUGUUAGCUGUUACUGUUGACACGUCUGAGGCUGCUUUCAGCAGGCAAGGGGAGCUUCCCGGUGCUAGAUUAACAAAGCGCCCUACUACCCUGAACUUGAAGUCAAAUAAAGAGGGCAGGGUGCUAAUUGUUGGGGCAAUUUGGUGCUAAUUGUUGGGGCAAUUUCUUUAUUUCAUCUUCACUCAAAUCUCCAGGCAAAAAUUGACUUUUGUCUGAGGGCUCGUACCAUAACUAUUGUGUCAGUAAUUGUGGCACCUCCAAGUGGCCUCAGUGAAUUAGACUGGUCUUAAGUUAAAUACUUUCAAAUAUUAUCUAACACCUCAGAUAAUCUAAUGUAAUUUAACAGGUGAAAUAAAUUCCCAUGAAUGAUCCCUUUGCUGGCAUUUAUUGAGUCUUGCUGUGUCCUGAGCAUUUGCCAAAAGCUUAUAGCAUUUACUCACUUAAUCCCCUAUUUUAAUCCUGUGAGGUAAGAACCGUUAUCUUCAUUUUAUAGAUGAGAAGACCAAAGUGUCCAUAGUGUCUUUAAUAGUGAGUGGUGUAGAUAGCCAUGCCGUGAAUCCAAGUUGUUCUGACUCUGAAAUCUGUCAUUUAACCCUUACUUUGUUAUUUCAGCAAAGAAAUGUUGGAGUGGCACUUUUUGAGAAGUAAUUAUUUUCUGCUUUUUCUUUUUGCUUGUUGAGUUCCUCACAGAUCAUGUUCACAUGGUGAGUAAUUAAUGGAAGAGAGAAAGCAUCCGCUUACUGAUUCAGUCAGCAUUUAUUGAGACCUAACGUCACCGUUUUCUUCCUUUCCUCCUCUGCUCUGAUUGGGCAUCUUCAGACUGUUGUGCAAAAGAUAAUUUGUUAAAAUGCAAGAAAAAGAAAAAAAUUAGAACUUCUAUGCCUCUUUUUUAUCUUCAUUUAAAAGUUUCUACUUUGUGUAUGUUUAUAAGCUACAUCAUACGUUAGUCAAGCACCACACUUCAUUGGUCUAAGAUGUAUGCCCCCCAGAAACAUUUUAACAUGUCCGAUUAUGAUGUUUCUUACAUAAGAAUUAUAAUUAGCAAUGUUUUUUCCUUUCUUAGUGUUUUAUGAAAUGACAGUAUUCUGCAAUUGAUGAUUGCUUAGAUUCAAUGAAAUACAGAGGCACACGUGGAAAAUUAGAAAAAUAAGCAAAUAUAUGCAUAUUCAGAAUGCGUGCUUAUUUUUUAAGUGAUAGGAGGGUGUAAUCAAAAUGAUUUUUGAGAAUUUUAUUUUCCCUGCUUAGAAUUCCUUGAUCUCCCAACAUCUCUGUCGCCAGGUAUCCUCAGGCUGAUGAGUCCUGUCGGGCAUCCUUUCCCAAGGCAUGCCACUGUGGAUCCUGUGAGGGUUGUUGAGGCAGGUGAGCCCGCACCUGGUGGCCCCCAGAGGCGUCAGAGAGAGAGUUGUGCUGCUUUAGCACUCAUUUUGAUGUUGUCCAGAUUUCAAGUGGCCUUGAACCAUUUAACAUGUUGUGGCUCUGGGAACAAAAUUGUCCUCUGUCCUACUGAUGUUAAUAUAUCUGGCUCAGUGAAAGUCUGUUUUGGAGGAGCUCUAGUGGCACAGUGGUUAAGUGCUCAGCUGCUAACCAAAAGGUCGGCAGUUCAAACCCACCAGCUGCUCCACAGGAGAAAGAUGUGGCAGCCUGCUCCCGUGAAGAUUACAGCCUUGGAAACCCUAUGAGGCAGUUCUGCUCUGUCCUCUAGGGUCACUAUGAGUUGAAAUCGACUUGACAGCAACCGGUUAAUGUUUAUAACUCUCUGAAGUAGGCAUUAUUAUCUCUGUUUUAUGGCAUUGAAAAUGAAGAUACAGAGAGGUUAAUUAAUUAAGGUAGCUAAUAAUUGAUAAGAUUUGAACUACGGUCUGCUUAAUUGCAUAGCUCUCUGACUUUGCCAUUGUUAGUGCCGAGUAGUUGAGAAUUGCUUGUAUAAUUUUAUGUUACAGUGGAUGUGUUAUUUGUAAUGACAGUUUUUAAAUAAACAAAAAAUGCACUUGGAUAAAAAUGUUUGUGUGGACAAUUCUAAAAAAAAAAAUCAGGACCAACAGUUAAUGAUAGCUUGUUCAAUCUUUAGUUUUGGAAAUAAGUGAGUCUCGUGACCUGAAGAAAAAGUCAAAUGUUCCCCUCCAAAUUGCUUUAAAAUUAGUAAUACAGAAUUUUCUAAAUUAAAGAUUAUUAUUCUUUUCUAAAUUAAUCUAAAUUACUAUCACAUUAGUUUCCUGAGACCUCAUAUGGAAGUCUUCAGGUUAGUGUCCAGUCUGCUUACAGAUAAGAGCUAAGACUCAGAGAUGGAGGGGGAAGGAGGCAGGGAAUGAGAGAACACAAGGAGCCACAAAUGCUCAUGGACCUCUGUCUUUAGCUUCUAAUUCCUCUUUUUAAGACACCAUGGUUUCCUGUCCUAACUAUUUAAUUUUAAUAAUUAUACAGACUUAUCAGUACAGUAAUUGUACAGACUUAUCUCCAAAAUUUAUGUGAGGGAAAAUUAUAUAUUUGAGUGUUGGAAGUUCAACAUCGCUUCUGUUGAAAAUAAAUUGGAUCAAGGCAUAAUAUUUUCUUUGUGUCCUUGUUCACUUCAAAAAGUGGUAAAGCAGAUUGGCUGAGAAGGAUGCUUGCCUCAAAUGGAAUGGCAGAUUUUGGCAUUCUGAUUUCUAGUCUAACGCAGCUCGUUUAGGACUUGUUAGAUAGGAAAUAGUUAUCACUUUUCAAUUUAAGUUUGUUAGCAGAUUCCUUUUCUUGGUCGGGAAGAAAUAUUUCAUUUCUUUUGAUUGGCUGUCCUUGAAUCCUGUUAGUAGUUUAAAAGAUUUAAAGCUUGUUCUGUUGAACAUCUUGUCAGAGAUAAUAAGUAAGGAAAGUCUAUGGACUUUUUUUGUUUGAAUCCUUGAUUAAAGUUAAAUGAUGAAGAUAUCUUAGUGUGCAUAAGACAGUGGAUCCUAAAACAUUAAAUGUAAUACAUGUUUUUAUGAACUAAAUCCAUUUUUAAAUGUAAUAGGUAGCUCAGUGAUUUAAAAUAAGCCUGUAAAAUUUCUUUUUAUAACUAUCAGAAUUUUGGGAAAAAAAAAUCUCCUUCCUAAAUUUUGGCAUUUUGAAUAUCAAGCUUUUGAAAAUCAGGGCACAGUUUUGCCCCCUGAGAGUUAAUUUAAAUAGUUGAAGGAAGUUAUCAUAUUUUUGCCAGCUAGAUGUUAUACAGGUAUUGAGAUUGACUUUAGAGCUGUCUGUCUCCAUGUGUUAAACCAAAACCGGUUCUAACUCGUAGCUACCCUGUGUGAUAGAGUAGAGCUGCUCCGGAGGGCUUCUAAGGCUGUCAUCUUUAUGGAAGCAGAGCACCAGGCCUUUCUCCAUGGAGCAGCUGCUGGGUUCGAAUCUCUGACCUUUCAGUUAGCUUCGCAGCUGAGCACUUAACCGCUGUGCCACAGGGCUCCUUUCCACAUCUAAAGUAAGCCUCUAUUAAAGGCCAUUCAUCUGCGUUUGGAAUAGACUAGGCUUACCCAGUAGAAGAGCAGUCAGCAAUAUCUCAUAAACAUUAAAAUGCUGCAUCUUCAUUUGUUAGACCGUUGCUGGGAACGUUCUCCUUGGAAUCCAGGUGCUGAUGACAGGGCCUUCUGACAUCAGUCAGUCAGGAUGCUGCUGGACUCUGGAUGUCCUGUAGAUGAUGAACCAUGAGUGAUGCAGCUAAUUUAGCCCUGAGCAAACUAAGGGAUGUGUUUGAUAGAGGUGUGGAGUUGGGGGUGCCAGAGAGUUGUGUCUCCUCUCAGGUUUACAUCUAUCUGCAUUUGUCAUCCUUUAAGAGUAGAUUGUACCUUUCAUGUGGAAUAUGCCUCUGCCGUUUCUGGACGAUUAUUAAGUGUAAUCUCUUUGGGGCUCUUGUCUACCUCAUAGGGCUUUAUCUUAUGGACUGUGUGUUUGAACAACUUGGAAUAACCUACCAGGAUCAUUCCUUCAGAUGUUAGCCAGCUUCAGUGACUCCCCUAAGUUUCUUCAGGGAUUUCUGCUGCUGGUCACUUUUGCUUCUGGGUUAGCUCUGUUUCACACAGCUAUAUAUUUAAUUCCAGGAAGGGUAAAGAGACAGUUUUUAUUCCUUCAGCAGAGUGAUUUUGGCUCUUUUACUAUUGAUGUCAAUUGUGGAGGAAAUACAAUAGCCAAGUAUAUAUAAUAUAAAUAACUGCAGUAUAUUUCAGGUUUUAGUAAAUCUGCCAAGUCCGAAAGACAAAGAGGCCUGUUAAGUUUUAAGGAAUGAAAUAAAAAUAAAAAAAACAAAGCUAAAUUCGUCUUUUAUCUUUAGUAAUUCAUUUCUCUAGGAUCAUUAGGAGUGAUUUGAAUUAGUACACAAGAUAUUAAUUUCUAUCCUGUAAUUGCAUAAUCAUUUAAGAUUAGGUAAAGUAAUUUCUGAAAGAAUUUUGGAGAAUCUUAUCUGAUGUUGAUUCUCAUUGCCACUUGGAGAGUUCAGAAGAAGACGAGUGUGGUUAGGUUGUGAGUUUAUCACCACCAUCAAUGGUUGGGACUGUUGUAUUUUUUCAUACUUAACAGUGUGGUACUACGUACGUAGAGAGCCAUUAUGAAUAAAGAAAUUUUAUUCAUAAAUCAGUCAGGAAAUGCACACAUGAAGGAUUUAUGUAGUCUCUGUGGGACACUACAGCCAGACUGCAGUUGUCUUUUUGUGAGAGUUCUCCGAGCUCUUCCAGCCAUGCUUUUUUGACCCUAGAAACCCUGUUGCCAUCGAGAUGAUUCUAACUCAUAGUGACCCUGUAGGACAGAGCAGAACUGCCCCAAGGCUGUGAUCUUUAUGGAAGCAGACUGCCACAUCUUUUUCCCGUGGAGUGGCUGGUGGGUUCAACCUGCCAACAUUCUGGUUAUAGCCCAGUGCUUACCUUAGUAAAAAAAAAAAAAAAGAGUUAUUAAGCACUCAAUAAAUAGCCUGUUGCUGUCGAGUCUAUUCCAACUUAUAGCUACUCAGUAGGACAGAGUAGAAUUGGAAACCACAGGGUUUCCAAGGAGCACCUGGUGGAUUCGAACUGCCGACUCUUGGGUUAGCAACCAAGCUCUUAACCACUACACCACCUGGGCUCCACUCAAUAAAUACUGGGUGCUAUUACUAGUUCAUUCCCUGGCUUUCCAAGCUUCCAGUCUUACAUACCAGAACCUGAUAAUGCCUAAGGCCCAAUGUUGGUGCUAACUCCUCCUCUAAGCUUCUUGAUUUCUCACAGCCAUAACAGUCUCUCUUCCUAAAUUUUAUAGAACCUUAUGCUUUUUCUCUGGUAUUUAUCUGUACCUUCUAUUAUAUUUAUCUAUGGCUGUAUCUUAUAUUUUCUCCUAGAGUAAGUUCCUUGAGGGUAGGGGUUAUGUUUUAUUCAUUUUUUUAACUCUUGUCAUCUUUCCAAGAAUUUAGAAGGCACCCAAUAAAAAAGAAUUCUUUUUAGUAAGACAUUCUCUUUAAUUAGUACUGUAGCUUUUAUGAUUUCUUACAUAGUACGUGACACAUGAAGAAAAUGUUUUCCAUAAAUCUUUGAGAAAGAUAUUUACAUAACAAACAGAAUAAUAGAUUGUAUGUUUUAUUUCCUAGAAAAUGUCUCAGGCUUGUGUUCAAAGCUUUUUCAAGAUAUUAAUGAUGAGGCUGGCCUUAUAUUAAUUAUGACAUUGCCUAUCACUUUAUUGAAAUGCAUUUGCCGUCCUCAUUUAAUCAAAAUACAUUAAUCUCUCAAUUAUUCAUGUAUGGAUUACUCUUGUUGUAAUUCUUCCUUGUUAAUUUUUCAUACCUGCUUAGCCACUCCCCCCCCCAGCACCCUGUUCCAUUGCCUCCAUUUCCCAGUCUUGGAGACAUAGAAAGGAAGUUGUAAUAUUAGCUUAAGCAGAACAAGAUUGGAAUGGUAAGUUUCUCAAAACUGUAAUGCAAGCCAGAGUCCAACACAGGAUUAGUGAUUUUUAUUUUUAACUGCUUGGCAUUUAUGAGUGAAUGAUGAUUUCCAGCUUUUUUCCACAAAGAUCGCAACUGAUUUAACAUUCUUUUAGAAUGACACCAAGACAUUUUUAUCAAUGGAUUAUGAAGAAUUAAUUCCUACUGCAGAGCUCCAUAAAAUCUUGGGGUAAUUUUCCCAUUAGUUAAUGCAGUUAGGUUCUAUCUCCUGCAGAACCAAACAGAAGCCUUUAGGCACCCAAAAUUGAGUGUUUGACCCACCAAAAGACCCACUUUCAGUAAUACUGGCCCUGCCGAGGUUCCAUCUCAUCCUCUGUAUUUCCUAAUGACCUUCAUCAUCCUCUCAACCUGACUUCUUUGUUCCUCUGGCCUGUGUAUCAGGUCAUCUCAUUGAGUUUAACAACAGUCAAGUCCGUCCUGGCUUUGAAUUCUAAUCCUUGCCUUCCACUGACUCCUUUGCAUCCUGCAUGUCCUUUAACCCCAAUAAACUGUCUUCUCUGUUUCUCAGCUUUAUGGAGUAUACUUUGGAAGAUUAGUUAAGCACAUAAUAAGCAUUAGAUUUCAAAACCAGAAAACUGGUUGGCUACCACUGCUGCUGUUAAAUUGAGGAACAAGCUGGAAUUAGAUUGUGGCUUUUGGACAUGUGAUCCCUUAACCGUAUUUCUAGCAUUUAAAGAGAUGUGUAUGUUGUGUUUCUCCUUCACAUCUGUCCGCUUGGCUUCUCAGUGCUAUCUCCUUUGAUAUAUGUGGUUGCCAUUUAUCAUUACUCUUUGUUUUGAUCCUCUAGCCAACUGUUACUCCUCAAUGACAGAGCUAAUAUCUAGGCUAAUUAGGAUUAAUUUUUCAAUUAGACGGUUUUAAAAGAGGCUGCACAGACUAUUUACUUCCCUUAUGGGGAAAGUCAAACUGCAUUUCUAGUUUAAAAAAAAAAAAAAAUUUCACCUCAAUAGUAGUUAAUCGAAUUGUUAUUUUAUCUUGACAAAGUAUGCUUCUGUUUCCUUAGGUUAAAAUGUCAUAUAAUAUUCUUUUAUUUUUUAAUUCUGUGGUGUAGAAGACUCUACAGACAACCCAUUGCCUUAAGAUUUGACUGUGUGAACCAUAUUAGGCUUCCUAAUUUAGACAAUUUUAUGUGUGUACAGUUUUGUACAAUUUGUUUUUAAAGUAUAUGGUUAAAUACUUGAAACAGCAUUUUUAUUAAGUUUGAAGAAUGUACAUUUUUUUCAACUGUAAACUUAAAUAAGUGAAUCUUGAUGUCUGUAAAUGGAGCUUGGGUAACCACUUAAUAAAAAAAAGAAUUAUCGUCUUCUUUAAAGUAGAGUGUGCUUUUAAUUCAGGGGGAAAAGUCCUUAGCUAAUUUUACUGCUUUUGUAUUAGUCAGGCUUGGCUUCCUGCCACUCGUUAUUUGAACGUCUCAGUGGUGUUCAUUCUUAAUUUCCCAUUCCGUUGAUAACAUUUAGUUUGUAGGGAGUUUAGUAUUAAUGGUCGUUGCCUGUUUCAUGUGUACACAGAGAAAUUUUAUAGCAUGCAGGCUUGCAUAAUAAGUUUUGGUGAGGUUGUCUUUUCAACUUUCAGAUUUUGGUGUGUCUUUCAGCUCUUUUCUAAAUGCAUGUAUAUUGCGCCGGCCUGUGUGGUACCAUCAUAGGAGAGGUGUGCUGUAUCUUGGGUCAUGAAGGAGUUAAUUCAACUCUCAGAGUCAAAAUUUUAACUUUCAUGGAGUCAUACCCUUGAAGAAUCUAGUUACCAACUAUGGUUUGGGGUUUUAACCGAACAUUUAAAAAGACCAGUGUAAUGAAAAACAUUCUUGUUAUUUUUUCAAAGAACUUUCACUUUUUUUAACUGCAUUCAAAGAAAUGGAUUUUACAUUGCAACCUAGUACAUGCAUUUAACACAUGCAUACGUAUGUGCGCGCACACACACACGCACAAAACAAGUAUCCUGAAAUUCUAUUUGUUUUCUGUUCUAUUUCAUUAAAUAAUAUUGAUUGAAACUCACUAAUUGAAACUGAAUUUAUGACCACUGCUAUUUGAAAACCUUUGUCUUAGAAUAUUCAGUCUCCAGGUAUUUUCAUAAUCGAUGUUUAUUUCGGUUUGUUCGGUUAUAGUGGUAAAUGAGGUUAAGCUUUCAGUUAGCUAAUCUUCCUGUAUUUGUUUGAAAUUUUACUGUAUUUUGAGUAAAACAAAAUGUUCCUGCAUGUUAUAUUUUUAGGCCCAAUACCAGUAAUGUUAGAACUGCCUGGUUUAGAUAUUCGUAAGUCUUUUACAAAAGCAUUUCUUUAGAAAUGUAAAUUAGAGGUUUUGCCACUGACUAUGGGGGAAAAAAAAAAUCCGUCCAUACUUCAUUUAUUUACCUUUUCCUAACUCUCCAAAUGAUUCAUAUAUCACUGUUUCUUUUAUUGUGCCAAAAUUUUAAGUGCUUUUUCUAGAAAAUAACUGGCUACCAAAGGUACAAGAAUCGUAGUUAUCAUAAACAUUAUGUGAUAUAUUCAAGAUUUAUGCCUUUUUUUGCUAAUAAAAACAGUCAUAAAAAUUAUUGUAUUUAAAUUCUUUUAAUUAUGAGGCCACGGAAAAUGUAUUCAUUCAUUCAUAUUGGUUUAUGAGCAGUUAUCUCCUCCACUUAUCCUUCAACAAGAAUGACUUCAAAGCUGAGCCCCUUCCGAAAGAGGCAGUAGCUAGUGCCUAAAAAUAAAGGUGGCUUCAGUUGUGUCUUUGUUUUAGUCUAGAAUAGAAUUACUUAAAAUAGUAACUUUCUACACAUGAGAACAUGUUAGUAAUGUAACCUGUUCCUGUCAGCAUGUAUCUGAUAAAACGUGCUGAUCUCUGUAUGAAAAUCAGAGGCUUUUGUUUGAUAUCAAGGCAUAAAACAAGCGGGUCAUUUUCCUUCUGCUGAAGCGCAAGUGUCUCAUUGUGCACACUUCCUUGGCAGCCAGUAAUUAUGCAGGCUCUGAUACGGGGACACUAGCUGUUUCCUUGGGGACAAGGUGUAAGCAGAGACAACGCAAGAGUACUAGAAUAUCAUUGUCUCUCCUCAGUUUUAAAAUACUAUUAAAAACAGUAAUUUUAAAAACAGAAAUCUGUGACAGUAGAGGUUGUAUGUAACUUCCCGUGCUGCUUCACACCCCAAUUACAAGGCAGACAAAAGACUGUAAGUGAAAUGUGGAUAACUUAACCCAUUGGUCUGCCUUUACCCUUACCCAGAUAUGAAGGAAACAAAACAAACUUCAUUCUGAUCUGUAGAUUAAUUUCUUAAGCUUUACCAACUGGAGUACUUACCCAUAUGGUAUUACAGGUUAGCCUGUAUGUGUGCAGAAUGUGUUUAAAUGUAUUUUCCUUUCCAUUUUCACUGUCAUGUUUUAAUCUAAGUUUUUACCACUUCACUCUGAGAUGUUGCACUAGCCUUCUAGUAUUUUCACUCUUCACUCGUUCUCCUUAUACUUCAUUGCACUAUCUCCCGUUACCACCCACCCCACCCUGGCCUCUCCCAGGCACAGUCACGUAUAAAUCUCAGGGUUACAGACUCUAAUAGGUGUGUCCACUGGAGAGACCAGCUCUCACUCUUGCCAUCCCAGUUUCAAGUACUAGGAAGGGCUUGGCUCGUAUUGAAUUAGAUUUCCACCCAGGGUUCAGCCCACUGUGAUACACAGUGGCUUCUGAGGAACCUCUGUUGUGACUGGGUUCCCAGCUAGUUCCCAGAGGGUGGGAACUAGUGCCCAUUUCAUUCCCCUUUGUAACCAGUGCUAAUCAUGAAUUUAUUUACCCUCCUCCAUAUUUUAGUUCCAGAUUAUUCAUAGUGUAGCGAAUGGGUUUUUAAAUGGAACAGUCACAGUCAGCAUGUAUCUUUGCAGGCAUGUGUAUACUCACUCACUCAAGGUUAUCUCACAAGACUCCUUCCCUGCCCCCCCCCCCGAAAAAACCCACACCUGACUAAGAACACAUUCAAUAAAUGUUGUAGUUAGGCUAGCUGUCCUUAGCGUCUCCUUGACUCCACCUAGCCUUUCCAUGCUAUUAUUGAAAGAGAGCAAGAGGGAAAACAGUACUGGAAACUCCCUUAGCAUCUCUGUGUCUGAGGUGGAGUGUACAGGCUGUGUGGACAGAGGGGCAAGCACAGAGUCCUAGGAGCAAGGACUGAGAGUGGGUCAGGAGGACCUUGCUGGAGGCAGAGAAGAGGAGUGGGAGAAGAAUUGCUAGUAAGGCAUCCCUAGACGGUCUGAAGACCUGAGAAUCGUCUCGGGACUUGUCUCCUGAUAGUGUUUUCAUCAGCCGUAUUUUUAUUUCCUCAUUAGUUCAGUCUGUUUUCUCUAAUUUUGUGUUUUUAAUCACAAACACUAUUUUAGCUAAAACUAUAUCGACUCUCAAGAACAUGUCAUUUGUACCAUAUAGCUAACCUAUGCAUAUUUGUUGCAUAAAGAAAACCUAUUAAUGAAAUAAAUUCAAAGCAAUAGUAUUUUUCCCUCUCAAAGACUUUCUUGUUUAUCUCUUUAAAACAGCUAGCUUGAUAUUUUUGUCUUUAAUUUUUUUCCUGUGUGCUUGUCAGAUGCUUAACUUGGGUGGGCGGCCUACUUGGGUGUUGAGUAAAGAAAGGCAUUUAAAAAAAAAUCUUAGUAUUUAAUUUUUUCAGUGGCUCCCUGAGGGGAGCCCCAGUGCUUUUCAUGCUGGCACUCAGUGUGCUUGAGUUUGGUUUUGUUUUUUACACUGACUCCUGAAAAUUAAUUGAUGCAAUUUUGGAAAAUAAGAGAGUAAUUAAGUACUGUUUACUUUAUGUGAGUGACUAUAAACUUUAAGAAAAAGUGUAUAAAUUUGAAUCAGCCUAUCCUAUUUUUGAUUCAAACAUGCUGUGGUAGAGAAUAAUGAGACUACCUUUUAAUAUUGGCUUUACAAAUAACGUGCUUGACAAACUCACUUUUUUAAAAGUAUUGUCUCUCUCCAGAGUAGGUUUUGAACAUUGUCUUAGAAAUAUCACCACUCAUUUACUUAAUUUUAAUUAUCUGCUGUAUGUACUUAAACAGUGUCUUGUUAUUGUUGAUUUUGAAAGGCUGGUUUAAAUAUUUUUGCUUCAUUGAUGAUUGUUAUUGCAUUAAUAUUUUUCUUCUUUUUACCUAUAACCUGUCUAAAGGUGGUUGCUGCUAUAAUAGUAACUUUAAAUUGGAUCCUAUUUGGUAAUUAUAAUGCUUACUGCAUUACUUAUUUGAAAAUCUGGUGUCUUGAAGCUGAUCAAAGGAUGUUAAAUGUAAGAUUUGUAGCAUAUAUACCCCCUUAUGUAUACCAUCACCAAACAUGCCCAUAGUUGGUUUCCUGAUAGAUGGAUGGGGGCUGUGGCUCGGAGGCAGAGGCUCAGGGAUCAUUUCCCAAGUGACUGGACGGAAGAGAGAGCCUACCAAGUCAAGGGCAGAGAUGAAGCACCUGGGCCCUCCAUCUAGAAAGCUGAAUGCAGCAUCUGCCAGCCAGAUGAUGGAAGGGUGUGGUCCAAAGCAGUUGGGAGCUAAGCCUGAAAAAAGGAGCAGAUAGUGGCUGUGGCCAGGCUUUCACUUGGUGUCUCAGCUGGGGGAAUCAGUAUACUUGGGCUCAGAAUUGGGACGACUAGGCUUAAAGCAGAGAAGGGAAAGAUAUGCCAGGAUGAGAAAGCUCGGUAUCAGGCAUUUUAUAAUCUUGUUUUGAACGCCAUCCUAAACUGAAUCCAGAAAGAACAUGUAGCAUUUUCCCUCGUGGGAUUUAUCAUCUGAGAGGUAGAAUUGCUGAAAUAGGAGUGUAUUUUACCCAAAAAGACACAUACAGAAGAGAUUUCUCCUCAGCCCUUUGUAUGUAACUGCUUAGAUGUGUUUGUGUGUUUCGUAGUGAUCCCUGACCACCUCUGUGUCUAUUUGUGGCACUUCUAAUCCUCGAAGGCCAUUUGACAGAAGCUUGUCAAGGUACCGAGACAGAGGAAUGUGAAUGGAUUCACCUAAACCCAUCCUGGCCACAAGAAAAUAUGAGACACAUCCUGCUGAUGGUAGCUCAUGAGGCAGUGUAACUUCACCUUCUGGCAAUGAGAUGCUUUUUGAUGACUUGCUUUGGUUCACUUUUAAGAUCUUGGAGGUGGUGUUCUGCUGUGUUGUUCUGCUGUUCUGUUCUGAGAUAUAAAACAGACAAAAGAUUUGUGUGCUUUCCAAAUGUUUCUUUGAUGUGACUAUUUUGGGGAUUCCUGAGGAAUGACAUUUAAUAUUUUUCCACUUCAUUAUUUGUAGGUCAUAGUUGUCAACCAGAUUCUCCAAGGUCGUCACAGUUCACAUGCCCAGAGAAAUACUCCUUCAGUGUGUGACAGUUAAUGUAGUCAGGCUUUUGAAUCUCUGUCUGUGCUCUUAUGAUUUAGGAUUACCACCUAUAUAGCAUGGCCUCUUUUUUCAGUCUUAUUCCUAUUGGUAUCACAGAGCUGAUCGGACAUUUUGGCCGUUUGAUUUCUCUGUGUUGGUGUGACGUGAACAUAGAGCUAACCUUCUCCAUGUGCUUUCCUUCCUUUGAAAUUGUUUGAACUGACAGAGUUCCUGAGUCAGCAUUGCAUUCCGGUUAUGCCAAGAUACAGACUCUAUUUUUAAUGCCGAAUCUACUAGAAACUUAAUCAAUUUAAAAUUCCUGACAGUACUUACUAUGGACCAUUUGAAAAGUGCUUAUGUUUGCUUUGACAUUUCUGAAGCUAAGUCAUGCAUUUGUAAUCCAGGAUGUGGCUACUAGAAUACAAAGUUGACUUAUUCUUGUGGUGAAUACAAUGUAAGACCGCCUUCUUUCCCUUGCUGCUAGUCGGAGUGAGAAGCAGUGUGUAGUACGAUGUUAUCAUUCUUAGUCAUAUGAACUCUUCAUGCUUUCUUGAUCCGUUUCUUUAGAGAAAAUACUUUUUUUUUUAACAAAAAAAAGUAGUUUUGUCGUGGUUGAGAAUAUACACAGCAAAACAUACACCAGUCCAACAGUUUCUACAUGUACAAUUCAGUGACAUUUGAUUACAUUCUUUGAGUUGUACAACCAGAGAAAAUAUUCUUAAAGCAAUGGACACCUGCUUUACAUGCAGUGGUAAGAAUCUUUAGACGGCACAUGAAUAUUGCAUUGAAUUAACCCUAUUAAUUAGGCUCCGGAGCUGUUCAAGGAAGAGGGCUCAGCUUUGUGGCAAGGUGCCAAACACAUGGCAGUUUGAAUAAAAUCCAUGCUUUUCUGUUACUUUUCCCCUUCCCCACUGUUUGAGCAUCAUCAAGUCAUUCUCCUGUAGGGUGGGAUGAGAGAGAGGACACCACCGGUAGUGGGGGAGGGGUUGUGUACAGUGGUUUUUCCCCGGAUGUGUAUUUUAUCCAUAUUCAAAAUAAGUAGAUACAUGGAUACACACCUACUAUGAAAAGCCAGAUGAAGGGGCUCUCCACUGCAGGUUUAAUAUGCCUGUUUUAAUUAAGGAAAUGACGACACAUGUACUGAUUAUGCUAACAUAUCUUAGAGCAUGCUCUACUUUCCGUAUUAGGUUUCUCUGAUAAUGCAUUUCUUUUUCUAUUACCAGACGUGAUUAAUGUGCCACAUAGUGUUAACUUGCUCUUUCCCCAAAGACAUCAAAUGGGAGGCAGCAUGUAGAAGCUAAAUUAUUCGGAGAGGAGUCAGUGAUUGAUUUAAAUAUAAAAGGAUUAAUUGGUCCCUGAACCAGACUAUUAAACUGUACUGUGAUCUUGACUGAAAGUGGAAGAAUUACAAGUGCAUUGCGUAGAAUAAAUUAAUACAUUUUUCAUGGCUUUAAUCCUUUUUUUUCUGUAUUGCUUAUUGUGGUUUUAUGUACUGCUCUCUAUUGUAUGCUUAGUUGAUGCAGAGGAGAUGUGGUGUAGAAUGAUUAAAUGGGAGCCAGGGUAGAACUGUCCAUUGAGUUUUAAGGUGGUACUGUUCUUCCAGGGUAGCUGAAAAUAUCUCUGCAGAGUGAGUACUUCUAGGAACUCUUGCCGAUAAUGACCCCAGGCAUGGAACUUAAGCGUUGACCCAAUAAGAAAUUUAAAAGUUUACAUUAUGUGAGGACAUCGUUCAAGGUGAACAUCAGCUAACUGGGUAAAUACAGCCCUUUAUCCUCAGAAGAAUUGACUUGAGACUUCCACUCUUGAGGGUAAACAUUAUAAUGGCACCAUCCCCAGGGAAGAUUUUCUUCUUUUUAUAACUAUCUCUAUUCAAACAAUAUUGAUUUUCUCAUUUCAACUCAGUCUGCCAGGAUGCUACUCUUUAGGGCUAUCAACCUCAUGUCUUCUUUCCAGGGAGAAUAAAUCUGUGUUUAUUUACCUCAAUUAUAUUGCUGCUUUUAUAACCAGGUGUUCAUGUAAGUUCUGCUUUGAAGUAGUAAUCCUGGUAAUAAAACGAGAGCAGCAGUUUGGUCCAGCGGACUGAUUAAAGAAUUCAUGUAUUUGUGGCUUUACUGACAAUGUAAAUUUCAAGUUUCAGAAUGGUGUACUUCUCUUUACCCCAUCUCACCACAUCUUUCCCUUAUAACUUGAUGCGCUUUGCCUUUCAGUAUUCUACCUGCUUCUGAGUUAUCAGUCCCACCACCCACCCACUGCUGUCGAGUUGAUUCUGUCUCAUAGCGGCCCUAUAGGACAGAGUGGAACUGCCCCAUAGAGUUCCAAGGAGCGCCUGGUGGAUCUGAACUGCCGACCUCUUGGUUAACAGCUGUGGUGCUUAACCACUAUGCCACCAGGGUUUCCAGUUAUCAGUCCAUAUGGAAUAUUUUAAAAGAGGAACAGCUUAGCUGACAACUGAGAUACGAAAUCAUUGGGAUCUCAGGAUCGAAAGUGCCAUUGAAGGUCACCUGCUCCAGGUACCCUUUCCAUACCAGGGUUUCCACUACCACAGCCUCAGGGAUAACAAAUAGAUUACUUUUCUUGACAGUCUUCCCCCCAACCCUUUCUUUAAACAACCCAGUUAGAAAGUUAGUCUCUAUGUUGACUUGAAAUUCAUUUCUCUGUAAUGUCUACAUCAGUUGUGGUUCGCCCGAGUAUGUGAGCCCUGGGGUGUACCAUGAACUAUUGACCACUAUAUUGCCACAUUUUAAUCAAUGUGUACAACUGAUAUUUGCCACAGUUGAGGAGGGCAUAUACUAUUCCAACCACGAUCGUAAAGUGCAACACUGAGCCAAAUAGCUUUCACGGCACGGUGUGCAUGAGUGUAACUCGUGCAGUAUGGAUUGCUAGCUGUGUAUUCUGAGUCAUCUCAUUUCUUGGUGAGAUGUCUCUAGUUCCCUCAAUUGUUUUCAUGUUGAGUGGUUUAAAGUUCCUUUAGUCAUUCUUUGAAUGUGUUCUGGUUUGUGUAAUAUCCUUUUUAAGUGUGAUAUCCAGACUUAAACUGAACAUUCUGAACAGGCCUGACGAGCACAGAGCAGAAGCAGAGCAUGUCGUUAACUCCCUUGUUCGUAACUGGUGGUUUUAAAACAUUUUCUGCCCUGGUCUGUCUGCUGUAUGGGGCAGGUGGUUGUUAGUAACAGUGGCUCACUAGGGCUGUGGUUUUUAGGACAGAUGAGCUCGUCUGAUUUGAAAAGCAGCCUCCCAGGGGAGUCCUUUUGCUGCCACUGGCUCUAGAUACCCGACAUCUGGUUCUAUCGCUGUAUCUUGUGAGAGUGCCUUAGCUCCUUUUGCCAAUCACAGUGCCCAUACUGUCAGCCAAAAACCUCUCUAGUUAUUCUUUGGGGGAGUCCUAAACUUACGCAAGCUAUAGUUGAACUUCAGGCAAACUUCAUCUGCAUUUAUCCCUGUUAAAAACAAUUUCCAUCAGCUAGACCUUAUUUCAUUUAAGAAAUAGAUUAAAAUUUAGUAAUAAUAAAAAGCAAUGUGAACUCAUAAUCUUUGUCUCCCUUUUUUUAGUACUUCCCUGUGGGAGUAGUCUUAAAAUCUGGCUGCUUAAAAUAACAGUAUUUAGCUUUCAUUAGGGGAAAAAAGUGGAAUUAUUUUGAAAUAAUAGAGUAAAUAUUUAUUCCGAUAUCUCAGUAACAAGUGUGUGUAUUUGAGCUUUUACAACAGGGUUCCUUGGAAAUUUCGUUUUAUAAAUGCCCUUCCAGAAACUUCUUUGCAGAGCUCUAUUUGACUCUUCUUUGACUUCUAGAAUGGCAGUUAUCAUUAAGCCAAAAUAUGUUAGGAGUCACAUGGCUAUUUGCAGAUGUCCCCAAAUUGAUUUUUUUCCUCUUUGUUUUGUUGUUAAAUAUUGAAUCGGGACAGAAAAAUCUCUUCCCUUAAAAAAAAAAAAAAAAAAAAAUUCAUUCGUUAAUGUUUUGUUCACUAAAUUCAGGAGCUAAAGGGUAACACAAAAAAUCAUUAGACAUUUUUAUUCACUGAAAUUGAGAGAUGGAUUUUGCUAAAGUGAUUGUCCUAAUUCCAUAAAUGACUUUUCAGUGGUUUCAGAAAGGUCAUUUUGGAGCAGUGAAUGAAUUUGAGAACUAACCUGAGUGUCUGUUGAUAGAAAUGGAAAAUGUUUAUUGAAUAAAUGGCUAUAAGAAGUGGCGAAUGGGUGCUUUGAAUAUUGGAGGACUUAAAAAUAACCUCAAAAGUAUUGGGAAAAUGGAAUCUUAUAUUAACGCUUGUGGAUAGGCUACUUUUAGUAUGUUAACCAUUGUUUUCUAUUAUAUUACAUGUUAUUUUUCCUUUGAAAAAUAUAUAUAUUAUUUAAAAUAUGUUUAUUUUGUGUAAAUUAUGUAGUAUUCUAAAAACAAAAACACAGAGGGUAAUGAUUAGUUUCCUAUUGUUGCUGUAACAGAUGGCCACAAAGUUGGUGGCUUACAACAACCAGCUUUGCUGUUAGGAAGGUCCCAAGUCUAAAGUAAAUCUCACUGAGGUAAAAUCAGGGUAUCAGCAGUGUUGUACUCCUUUUUGGAGGCUCUAGGGAAGAGUUGCUUUUCUUGCAUUUUACAGCUUCUAGAGGCUGCCCAAGAGAGCCCUGGGCAUUCCUUGGCUUGUGGCCUCUUCUAAACUGUCAAUGGCCAGUUGAGUCUUGUAUCACGUUACUGACUUUCCUGCCUCCCUCUCCCAUAUUUAAAGGUGCUUAUAAUUACAUUGAGCCCACUGGGUCAUCCAGGAUAAUCUCCCUAUUUUAAGGUCAGCUGAAUAAGUGACUGUAAUUCCAUUUGCACCCUUACUUCCCCUUUCCCAUGGAGUAUGACACAGUCACAGGUUCUGGGGAUUAGGACCUGGACAUUUUUGAGAGGCCGUUGUUCUGCCUGUCACCGAUAAGAAGAUAAAUACCCAUGCUUUUCCAACUCGGUUUAACCCAAAAUAAUUUUUUUUUAAAAUAAUUUUUAUUGUACUUUAAGUGAAAGUUUACAAAUCAAGUCAGUCUCUCACACAAAAACCCAUAUACACCUCCCUACACACUCCCAAUUACCCUCCCCUUAAUGAGACAGCACACUCUGUCCCUCCACUCUCUUCGUGUCUGUUUCGUCAGCUUCUGACCCCCUCCACCCUCUCAUCUCCCCUCCAGGCAGGAGAUGCUAACAUAGUCUCAAGUGUCCAUGUGAUCCAAGAAGCUCACUCCUCACGAGCAUCCCUCUCCAACCCAUUGUCCAGCCUAAUCCAUGUCUGAAGAGUUGGCUUCGGGAAUGGUUCCUGUCCUGGGCCAACAGAAGGUCUGGGGGCCAUGACCACAGGAGUCCUUCCAGUCUCAGUCAGACCGUUAAGUCUGGUCAUAUGAGAAUUUGGGGUCUGCAUCCCUCUGCUCUCCUGCUCCCUUAGGGGUUCUCUUUUGUGUUCUCUGUCAGGGCAGGCUUUGGUUGUAGCUGGGCACUAUCUAGCUCUUCUGGUCUCAGGAUGAUGUAGUCUCUGGUUCAUGUGGCCCUUUCUGUCUCUUGGGCUCGAAAUCGCCCUGUGUCCUUAGUGUUCUUCAUUCUCCUUUGAUCCAGGUGGGUUGAGACCAAUUGAUGCAUCUUAGAUGGCUGUUUGCUAGUGUUUAAGACCCCAGACGUCGCUCUUCAAUGUGGGAUGCAGAAUGUUUUCUUAAUAGAUUUUAUUAUGCCAGUUGACUUAGAUGUCCCCUGAAACCAUGGUCCCCAGACCCCUGCCCGUGCUAUGCUGGCCUUCGAAGCAUUCAGUUUAUUCAGGAAACUUCUUUGCUUUUGGUUUAGUCCAAUUGUGCUGACCUCCCCUGUAUUGUAGUAGUUCUUAUCUACUAAUUAGUGGAUGCCCCCUCCCACCCUC
Long non-coding RNA from Loxodonta africana (African savanna elephant), 23512 nucleotides. RefSeq lists it as uncharacterized. The transcript has 3 exons. NCBI's taxonomy places the organism in Eukaryota, Metazoa, Chordata, Mammalia, Proboscidea, Elephantidae. The record is from RefSeq and is a predicted model, not a curated record.